This 465-nucleotide ribosomal RNA is filed under the name uncultured bacterium. RNAcentral's name for it is "partial 16S ribosomal RNA". It matches the Rfam family "Bacterial small subunit ribosomal RNA", at positions 28 to 507 of the family's 1533-position model. The record is from RNAcentral.
GACGAACGCUGGCGGCGUGCUUAACACACGCAAGUCGAACGCUGAACCCGCUUCGGUGGGGGAUGAGUGGCGAACGGGUGAGUAACACGUGGGCAACCUGCCCCCGGCUCUGGGAUAACUCCAAGAAAUUGGGGCUAAUACCGGAUGUGACCGCUGGCCGCAUGGUCUGGUGGUGGAAAGGGUUUCCGGCUGGGGAUGGGCCCGCGGCCUAUCAGCUUGUUGGUGGGGUAGUGGCCUACCAAGGCGACGACGGGUAGCCGGCCUGAGAGGGUGACCGGCCACACUGGGACUGAGACACGGCCCAGACUCCUACGGGAGGCAGCAGUGGGGAAUAUUGCGCAAUGGGCGGAAGCCUGACGCAGCGACGCCGCGUGGGGGAUGACGGCCUUCGGGUUGUAAACCUCUUUCAGCAGGGACGAAGCGCAAGUGACGGUACCUGCAGAAGAAGCACCGGCCAACUACGUG